Molecule: small nucleolar RNA, 132 nt
Filed under: Leptosomus discolor (cuckoo roller)
Lineage: Eukaryota; Metazoa; Chordata; Aves; Leptosomiformes; Leptosomidae
Description: Small nucleolar RNA SNORA3/SNORA45 family
Rfam family: Small nucleolar RNA SNORA3/SNORA45 family
About the family: The members of this family belong to the H/ACA class of snoRNAs which are thought to guide the sites of modification of uridines to pseudouridines. This family includes mouse snoMBI-28 and human homologues ACA3 (SNORA3) and ACA3-2 (SNORA45).
Source: Rfam by way of RNAcentral
GUCGAGACUAGAGUCACAUCUUCACAUGUUUGAUUGUCUUGGUGUGCUGUAGUUCUCGGACAGAAACAUCUGGUCCUUAUUCACUGGCUGUGAUGUUUUGUAUCUCAGCCAGCCACCGAAUCAGUGACAUGA